This 301-nucleotide ribosomal RNA is filed under the name uncultured bacterium. RNAcentral describes it as "partial 16S ribosomal RNA". It matches the Rfam family "Bacterial small subunit ribosomal RNA", at positions 509 to 807 of the family's 1533-position model. The record is from RNAcentral.
CAGCAGCCACGGUAAUACGGAGGGUGCAAGCGUUAAUCGGAAUUACUGGGCGUAAAGCGCACGCAGGCGGUUUGUUAAGUCAGAUGUGAAAUCCCCGAGCUUAACUUGGGAACUGCAUUUGAAACUGGCAAGCUAGAGUCUUGUAGAGGGGGGUAGAAUUCCAGGUGUAGCGGUGAAAUGCGUAGAGAUCUGGAGGAAUACCGGUGGCGAAGGCGGCCCCCUGGACAAAGACUGACGCUCAGGUGCGAAAGCGUGGGGAGCAAACAGGAUUAGAUACCCGAGUAGUCCCUGUCUCUUAUAC